UAGCGCACCAGUGCAUGCAGCAAUGAACCAUACAAGGAUCGCAUGGAGAGUUCUUGAGGUGAUAUUUUUUCUGAAGAGACUGGCGAAAAAGGCCAGUAUAGAUGCCGCACAUCCACCAAGUAAACAGCAGCCCUUCUCCGAUCAGAAAGGAAGUUCUCGGGUCAACACCAUGGAACAAGGCUGUAGCAGCGGCGAGGGCCAUACCACCUUCAAUGAAGAUAGCAUGGCAAACACAAGGAGUUGUCCAUGGUACGUCUUCUUUGAUCCUCUCGACAUUACGCCCAAAAAGCACACAAGGGCAGAAAAGCCCUGUCCAGCAGCUAUCCAUAUCUUCGGUGCACCCACAGAUCCCAGUCGACCACGCCUCAUCCCCUGGCCGCUCGUAGCUCUCCG
RNAcentral lists this unclassified non-coding RNA (393 nucleotides) under Hevea brasiliensis (rubber tree). Lineage: Eukaryota; Viridiplantae; Streptophyta; Magnoliopsida; Malpighiales; Euphorbiaceae. The record is from RNAcentral.